UNUGACUUGAGUGCAGAAGGGGAGAGUGGAAUUCCAUGUGUAGCGGUGAAAUGCGUAGAUAUAUGGAGGANCACCAGUGGCGAAAGCGGCUCUCUGGUCUGUCACUGACGCUGAGGCUCGAAAGCGUGGGUAGCGAACAGGAUUAGAUACCCUGGUAGUNCACGCCGUAAACGAUGAGUGCUAGGUGUUAGGCCCUUUCCGGGGCUUAGUGCCGGAGCUAACGCAAUAAGCACUCCGCCUGGGGAGUACGACCGCAAGGUUGAAACUCAAAGGAAUUGACGGGGGCCCGCACAAGCGGUGGAGCAUGUGGUUUAAUUCGAAGCAACGCGAAGAACCUCACCAGGUCUUGACAUCCCGAUGCUAUUCUUAGAGAUAGGAAGUUACUUCGGUACAUCGGAGACAGGUGGUGCAUGGUUGUCGUCAGCUCGUGUCGUGAGAUGUUGGGUUAAGUCCCGCAACGAGCGCAACCCUUAUUGUUAGUUGCCAUCAUUAAGUUGGGCACUCUAGCGAGACUGCCGGUAAUAAACCGGAGGAAGGUGGGGAUGACGUCAAAUCAUCAUGCCCCUUAUGACCUGGGCUACACACGUGCUACAAUGGUCGGUACAACGAGUUGCGAGCCGGUGACGGCAAGCUAAUCUCUGAAAGCCGAUCUCAGUUCGGAUUGGAGGCUGCAACUCGCCUCCAUGAAGUCGGAAUCGCUAGUAAUCGCGGAUCAGCACGCCGCGGUGAAUACGUUCCCGGGCCUUGUACACACCGCCCGUCACACCACGAGAGUUUGUAACACCCGAAGUCGGUGAGGUAACCUUUUAGGGGCCAGCCGC
Molecule: ribosomal RNA, 821 nt
Filed under: uncultured bacterium
Lineage: Bacteria
Description: bacterial SSU rRNA
Rfam family: Bacterial small subunit ribosomal RNA
Source: RNAcentral